GAGAGAGGAAACUAUGCCCGACGAAACAACCA
This 32-nucleotide non-coding RNA is filed under the name Syntrophotalea carbinolica DSM 2380. Lineage: Bacteria; Pseudomonadati; Thermodesulfobacteriota; Desulfuromonadia; Desulfuromonadales; Syntrophotaleaceae. The record is from RNAcentral.